GUCGUGUUAGUUUAUGUUUGAAAAUUUCUGAUUUGUAAUUAGAGGAAUGUUACGGCC
This 57-nucleotide transfer RNA is filed under the name Spirocerca lupi. Its description in RNAcentral is "tRNA-Thr". The record is from RNAcentral. Lineage: Eukaryota; Metazoa; Nematoda; Chromadorea; Rhabditida; Thelaziidae.